UCCUAGUUGACCUAGGCAGUCUCGCGUGAAAAAUACAACACACGACAAGGGUUGCGCUCGUUGCGGGACUUAACCCAACAUCUCACGACACGAGCUGACGACGACCAUGCAGCACCUGUCACCAGGCUCCUUACGGCACUCUCCCCUUUCGGGGAGAUUCCUGGGAUGUCAAACCUUGGUAAGGUUCUCCGCUUAUCGUCGAAUUAAACCACACGCUCCACCGCUUGUGCGGGUCCCCGUCUAUUCCUUUGAGUUUUAGCCUUGCGGCCGUACUCCCCAGGCGGGGUGCUUAACGCGUUAGCUUCGAUACCCAGGGGGUCUAUUCCCCAGAUACCUAGCACCCAUCGUUUACGGCGUGGACUAC
Molecule: unclassified non-coding RNA, 364 nt
Filed under: uncultured bacterium
Lineage: Bacteria
Description: contains 16S-23S intergenic spacer region
Source: RNAcentral